This 1350-nucleotide ribosomal RNA is filed under the name metagenome. RNAcentral's name for it is "bacterial SSU rRNA". It matches the Rfam family "Bacterial small subunit ribosomal RNA", at positions 8 to 1379 of the family's 1533-position model. The record is from RNAcentral.
AGAGUUUGAUCCUGGCUCAGGACGAACGCUGCGGCACGCUUAACACAUGCAAGUCGAACGAGAGAAGAGGAGCUUGCUUUUCUGAUCUAGUGGCGGACGGGUGAGUAACACGUGAGCAAUCUGCCUUUCAGAGGGGGAUACCGAUUGGAAACGAUCGUUAAUACCGCAUAACAUAGUUGAACCGCAUGAUUUGAUUAUCAAAGAUUUAUCGCUGAAAGAUGAGCUCGCGUCUGAUUAGCUAGUUGGUAAGGUAACGGCUUACCAAGGCGACGAUCAGUAGCCGGACUGAGAGGUUGAUCGGCCACAUUGGGACUGAGACACGGCCCAGACUCCUACGGGAGGCAGCAGUGGGGAAUAUUGCACAAUGGAGGAAACUCUGAUGCAGCGAUGCCGCGUGAGGGAAGAAGGUUUUAGGAUUGUAAACCUCUGUCUUCAGGGACGAAAAAAGACGGUACCUGAGGAGGAAGCUCCGGCUAACUACGUGCCAGCAGCCGCGGUAAUACGUAGGGAGCGAGCGUUGUCCGGAAUUACUGGGUGUAAAGGGAGCGUAGGCGGGAUCGCAAGUCAGAUGUGAAAACUAUGGGCUUAACCCAUAAACUGCAUUUGAAACUGUGGUUCUUGAGUGAAGUAGAGGUAAGCGGAAUUCCUAGUGUAGCGGUGAAAUGCGUAGAUAUUAGGAGGAACAUCAGUGGCGAAGGCGGCUUACUGGGCUUUAACUGACGCUGAGGCUCGAAAGCGUGGGGAGCAAACAGGAUUAGAUACCCUGGUAGUCCACGCCGUAAACGAUGAUUACUAGGUGUGGGGGGACUGACCCCUUCCGUGCCGCAGCAAACGCAAUAAGUAAUCCACCUGGGGAGUACGACCGCAAGGUUGAAACUCAAAGGAAUUGACGGGGGCCCGCACAAGCAGUGGAGUAUGUGGAUUAAUUCGAAGCAACGCGAAGAACCUUACCAGGUCUUGACAUCGUAUGCAUAGCUCAGAGAUGAGUGAAAUCUCUUCGGAGACAUAUAGACAGGUGGUGCAUGGUUGUCGUCAGCUCGUGUCGUGAGAUGUUGGGUUAAGUCCCGCAACGAGCGCAACCCUUACUGUUAGUUGCUACGCAAGAGCACUCUAGCAGGACUGCCGUUGACAAAACGGAGGAAGGUGGGGAUGACGUCAAAUCAUCAUGCCCCUUAUGACCUGGGCCUCACACGUACUACAAUGGCUGUCAACAGAGGGAAGCAAAGCCGCGAGGUGGAGCGAACCCCUAAAAGCAGUCUUAGUUCGGAUUGUAGGCUGCAACCCGCCUACAUGAAGUCGGAAUUGCUAGUAAUCGCAGAUCAGCAUGCUGCGGUGAAUACGUUCCCGGAC